UAAUUUUUAUUGAACCUGUUCAGGUUCUGAAACAUCGCUUAGGAAACGUGGGAGACCUAUUCGAUAUAUAGAAGAGGACUCCCCUCCUGUAUCCCCGGGUAGGGGAAGUACCUCAAAGCCAGGAGGAACUCCUUGGAGUACCGCACAGCCAGGAGGAACUUCUAAGAGUUCCACACAAUCAGGAGAAGCGAGCCCGAAGAGAAAGAGAGGAAGACCGAAGAAAAAUAAGAAUGAGGGAAAUGAAGAAAAGGGUUUAAAAGAAAAUAAUGACAUGAAGGAUAUAAAGAUGGAAGAUCUAGGAACAAAUAAACCUAAGGAUGGCGUCUCUGUACCCAGCAAUACUAAUGAGGAUGCUAGUACAGUCUUAAAUUCAGAAGUUAGAACGGAUAAACCUGAAAACUGUCCAGUAGAUCAAAUUCUCGAUUCAAAUUCAAUGAAUAAAACAGUAAAUGAAAGCUUGGUGAGGAAACGAGGACGACCAGCACGAUUAAAUCAACAAGAUUCACCGUUAGAAUUAAAACCCAGGUCUCCCGUGCCUGAGAAUAAAGUUAAAAGGAAGCAAGGACGCCCAGUCAACAAGAAGGAAGAAGGGAAAGGAAAAAAGGAGGAGGAGGUUCAAAAAUCAAGUCCUAGUAACGGUGCAACAAAGAAAACUGGAAAAUCCGUGAAAAAAGAGGUCAAAGAAUCCUUGGAAAAAGAUUUGACUGACGACGAGGAGAUUGUUGUGAAUAAAGAUGAACGGUUGGCCCUCAAACAGAUUGCAGAGUUUCUUCAGAAAGCAAAACUUCCUCUUUCACCCUUCCCGGUUACGAAAGGAGACGGAAACUGUUGGUACAGAGCAAUGUCAGACCAGGUUUCGAUGCUUGGAAUCCCUAAUAAACCAACGAAACAUUGGGAUUUGCGGAAACAAGUGGCAGACUCUUUAAAGAAUUUACCAUCUGAUGUGAAAAAGAAUACGAUUGACAUUGUUUUUCUCGGGAAACCUCGGGGACUCUCAGACCUAGCACAUCGUCAGAGAAAGGAGGGUCAAUGGGUUGAUGAUCGUGGAGUCAUGGUGCUCGCCACCGCUUUAUUCCUCCAACGAAAUAUUAACAUCUAUUCCUGUCCGGCCGACGAUUCCAGGGAAUACAGUGUAACCAAGAUAGAAGGUGGGGAAGGAGCUGAUGAGUUUCCUCCCUUGAACGUGUUCUACGAUAACAAUCAUUAUCAGAGCCUGAAACUUAGCAAGGAGUAAACAAAACAAGAUGGGAGUAAGACUAAGGAAUAAUACAAGGGUGUAUACUUUCUUGAACAUUUGUUUUUCCUAUAAGUGAAAUCUUAAAAAAUAUACACCCAUAAAAUUAUAUAAAAUGAUAUCAACCACAAUAAGCAACAGCUCAAAUAUUAUCUUAAUUAUUGACCCUAAAUGAAUUAUUGCUUAGCAAACGUUUUCAAACGCAUGUUUUUUUGUUUUACUGACACCAAUGAAUUACAGUUAGUUUGAAAUAUUUUUUUUAUAAAUGAGUAAAUUAUGUAUGAUAUAACAAAAUCGAAAACAAAUUGUGAAGGUAUCAGUAAUAAGAAUAAAGUUUUAAACUGUA
RNAcentral lists this unclassified non-coding RNA (1580 nucleotides) under Eurytemora carolleeae. RNAcentral's name for it is "uncharacterized LOC111711348". The record is from RNAcentral. Lineage: Eukaryota; Metazoa; Arthropoda; Copepoda; Calanoida; Temoridae.